GUCGGGUAUGGUGGUGCACGCUUGUAUUCCCAGCUACUCGGUAGCUGAGGCAGGAGGAUCGCUUGAGCCUAGGAAUUCAAGGCUGUAGUGCACCAUGAUCACACCUGUGAAUAGUCGCUGCAGUCUAGCCUAGACAAUAUAGUAAGACUCUGUCUCUA
Molecule: non-coding RNA, 158 nt
Organism: Homo sapiens (human)
Lineage: Eukaryota; Metazoa; Chordata; Mammalia; Primates; Hominidae
Rfam family: Metazoan signal recognition particle RNA
About the family: The signal recognition particle (SRP) is a universally conserved ribonucleoprotein. It is involved in the co-translational targeting of proteins to membranes.
Source: Rfam